RNAcentral lists this ribosomal RNA (253 nucleotides) under uncultured bacterium. Its description in RNAcentral is "partial 16S ribosomal RNA". It matches the Rfam family "Bacterial small subunit ribosomal RNA", at positions 524 to 776 of the family's 1533-position model. The record is from RNAcentral.
UACGGGGGGAGCAAGCGUUGUUCGGAUUUACUGGGCGUAAAGGGCGCGUAGGCGGCGUGACAAGUCACUUGUGAAAUCUCCGGGCUUAACCCGGAGCGGCCAAGUGAUACUGUCGUGCUAGAGUGCGGAAGGGGCUACUGGAAUUCUCGGUGUAGCGGUGAAAUGCGUAGAUAUCGAGAGGAACACCUGCGGCGAAGGCGGGUAGCUGGGCCGACACUGACGCUCAUGUGCGAAAGCGUGGGGAGCAAACAGG